Molecule: unclassified non-coding RNA, 20 nt
Filed under: Chlamydomonas reinhardtii
Lineage: Eukaryota; Viridiplantae; Chlorophyta; Chlorophyceae; Chlamydomonadales; Chlamydomonadaceae
Description: small RNA Cre_0475
Source: RNAcentral
AGCGCCGGCUGCUCGAAGGC